CUCUCACGGUGCACUCGCCCCGCUCCACGUCCUGCGAACAGGUAGAGAAACUCCGAAUGAGCUGGCGAUAUUCGGAGAAAACCACCGGAAGUGGAGGGAAGAGAGGGAAAGUCAUUCCGUCGUACAAAGUCCGGUCGCGACACAUCGCUGAUAUAGUUGGGACCAAACUGGUGAUAACAGGAUUUACUAAAAUUUUAAACGAAACCCCUUAUCUCACGGUAGGAUAAAUUUCCACCUCAAGAAAUGGGAGCGCAACAAAUGGCACGAAAAGUCGAACGUUCAAUCCCUUACAGUUAUUUUUAUACAAUUAAUUAGUAUUCAUUUUUCCAUCUUCGUGGGUAGGAUAGAGAUAAUUUGCGUAAGCGUUUUUGCUAGUGUUAGUGUUCCACUAUGUAUCGGAUUAGGCGAAGUUUUCCGUAAGACGCGAAUUCCGACAUUAAUUAAUUAAUUUAUCGGCACAUUCGCUCUAGUUUGAUAAGCCUUUGCGCCGGUACAAGGAAUUUUCGGCGAUUUCCCCAAGUGUCCCUAAACAUAACUUUAAUUGUACAAAUUCCAGAUGCAAAAAAUGCUUGUUUUUUUUUUAUUCAGUAAGACUGAAUCGGGCUUUGUUCCCACGAAGAUAGCAUGAUAGCGUACCAAUACAUAGAAAAUUACGUGAUUCCAUCAAAUGAGUCCCAUAACUGGAAUUUUAUUUCCUCGGCAGAUUCCACGAGAGAAAGGAAGGAUUCGAUAUAACCGAGAGCGAAACGACGAGUACUCUUUAUCAGGCAAAAUCGGCCUCGCAACUGUCCGAUAAGCCGAAUUUUCAGAAAUCGUGACUCCGCUCCGAUAAUCAUGCAAAAAGAUUCCGAUAAGUCGGCUCACUUUUGCUCUGCUGGCAACUUAAUAAUUCCUAUCGCAGUGUUCAACAAUCUUACAUAAUUCCUGGGUGGCAUGAUCCCGGUACAGUGUAACUGACUAUGCGAUUAAAUGAUCGAUUAAUCUGAACUCUUUGUGCCGCGACAUUUGCAAUUCACGUUGACGUGAAAAAUUCCAGUUCCCGUGUAAAAUAAUUCUCUACGCUGAUAAGAAAUUUUCUUUGAACCAGAGAAACAUGUCGAUAAUUCAAAAAAUAAUUAUUUCACUCAAAGUGGAUUAAAUCGGAAUUAUGACAAAAUGAUUCUUUGGUUCAAUUACAUUUAUUUAUUUCUUUGUUUCUCAGGGCGUUUAAUUCUGUCAGAGCGUUAUCUCGGGACAUGCGAUAAUUAGUAUAAAUACAAUUUGCGUCUGCAUAUCACGCGAUCCCUGCAACAAUAUUUUUAACGGCGCCGAAGCCUUCGUGAUAAGAGAUUCCCAUGUCACACAAUGACUUUUCAUCCUCCGACGAUGUUUAAUCGCUAUCACGAGCCUAAAAAGUGAAGCGAACGAGCCGUUAAAAAAUAAUCCACUUUGUAAUUCGUUAAUUAGCAUAUUAUCAGCUCAUUAGGCGAUCGAUUAAUCUGAAUCCCUCACAUCAUUCCAACACUUCUCUAAGAGUUUCAUUCAUCCUAGCGUUAUCUCGAGGCUUGCGAUGAUUACUAUCAGUAUGAUUUGCAUGUGCAUAUCACGCGAUCCCUGCACCAUCAUUUUUAUCGUCGUCGGAACUCUCGUGAUAAGAGGUUUCCAAGUCACACCAUGAUUUUUCCUCCUCCGAUGAUGUGUUAAUCCUUAUCUCAAGUCUAAAAAGUGAAGCAAAAGAAUCGUUAAAGAAAAAUCCACUUUGUAAUUCGUUAAUUGGCAUAUUAACGGCCUUCGGUGUAAUUAACUUCGGUGUGAAUUUAUUAAGAUCGAAUGUUUGCUCUUGGAAGCCGCUCUUCCGUACUCGUCGCGCAUUCUCGGAUUAAUUAAUUUUCCCAGUGCAGAUGCAGUUAAUUGAACGCGCUCCGAGGCAUUACGUGUCAUACUUGCUGCAUCUCGGGGAUGCUCGUAUGACUUGCAUUGCACUUCUCGAAUGGAACUGAGGUUAGCAUCGUAAAUGGGAUAUGUAGGAACAAUUUUUGGAAAUUGUCGGGGCAGCGCCAACGAAAUGGUGUCGGGUCUUCAGGAAUGUCUUUAAUUUCACAAUCGAUGGCGACAUAUCAACAGGUGAACGAGUGUUAAAUUUGGAAACUCCAUUAACAACUGGGAUUUUCAAGGAGUAUAUUGCGAUAACACCUACCAGGCAUUUAGUUAUCUGAUAUGGAAUUGUUUGAGUAUAUUGCAAAAUUACCCAGUGGACAAGUACUGGAUGUUAAAUCGCUUGAUCACAUUGCAUGCGUUGAUAAAAAUAUCCAUGUUAAUUUACACAUCGGUUAUUUUUAUGCCCUAAUGAAUUGGAGUAAAAUUACCCCCUCUCUGUAAUAUCACAUUUAAUUUAAAUUAAAAUGCACCAAUGCGGUAAAUACACGAUGUCAAGUUUA
Molecule: long non-coding RNA, 2417 nt
Filed under: Orussus abietinus
Lineage: Eukaryota; Metazoa; Arthropoda; Insecta; Hymenoptera; Orussidae
Description: uncharacterized LOC105701216
Source: RNAcentral